AUCGGCUGCAGUUCCUGCGUCCAUGGAGUCCCUGGAUCAGUUGGUAUCGGUUACUUGGUUCUGACACAUGGACUGUUCUGGUCAUGUGAUUUUCCUUAAAGCGAUAAGAUGACCAACACAGGGUUCUGCUGUCUCUGCUCGGCACAUGCCAAGGUUUCAACAUCGUCAGAUAACUGGAAACCCCAAAGUCUAAAUGGGAAACACCUCUAACCUAACCUCUGAUGAACAUCUAGAAACCACCUCUGUUGCUAAAUCUGACAUGACUGUCAGUCUGAACAUGAUUCUUCAUUUCUAACAGUCAGGCUGAAGAGAGGAAACCUGAAGGAAACAGUUUUGCUGAGAAACUUUUCUCCUGAAUGUGGAACUUCUUCCUCAUCUUCACUUCCCUUUCUCUGAUCUGCAUCUGUCCCUGCAGACGUUUCCUGUCCGUCUGCUCUCUAUAAAGAGCCUGUGAGAUCUUCAGAGACUGAAGACCUUCAGCAGCUGACGCCUCAGAGGUCCUCCUGCCUGAACCAGCGUGGGUCCAGCAUCCCGUUCUGAAGCUCCUGAAGAACCAGAGACUGUGGGUGACCAUGAAGAUCCUGCUGAGCUGUUUGCUGAUCCUCAUGCUCUUUGCUGACUCUUCUAUGGCUACAUAUGAAAGUUUUUGCAGGAAGCACAUAGACAUAGACAUGACAGACAUGGUAACAACGGUAAACAACAAAUGUGACUCAGUGAUAAAAGACAAGAACAUUUACGACAACAACAACUGUAAAAGAAUCAACACUUUCAUUGCCUCUGACCUGGCUGAAGUCGAAAAAAUCUGUACAAGUGAGGGAACCCUAAACAGUCAAAGUCAAAUGAUGGAGAGCAAGAAAAUGUUCACACUCAUCAACUGCAAACUGAAGCACAACGAUGCCAAGAAACCCAACUGCCAAUAUGAAGGCAUUCUCCUGACUAACAGGAAGCUGUUGGUCCAGUGUGACAACAACAACCGGCCUGUUCACUUUGGUGGUUACAUAGCAGAGCCUGGUUUCUGAUGUCUGGAUUCCUGAGGCGACAGUGAAAUGUCCUGCUGACCUUCUCUGAAUCCCACUGAACAUCUGGCUUUACUGCAGCAGAGCCGCUUAUCUAGAUCAGCUGAUCCUGUUCUGUGCUGCUCACAGGUUGCAUUCCUGUACUCUGCUUGCUCCAACUCCAAACAAAGAGGAGUUCUGCUUUCAUCAAUAAAAGUAUCAAGUUGA
Molecule: long non-coding RNA, 1223 nt
Organism: Oryzias latipes (Japanese medaka)
Lineage: Eukaryota; Metazoa; Chordata; Actinopteri; Beloniformes; Adrianichthyidae
Source: RefSeq, a predicted model, not a curated record